RNAcentral lists this ribosomal RNA (253 nucleotides) under uncultured bacterium. Its description in RNAcentral is "partial 16S ribosomal RNA". It matches the Rfam family "Bacterial small subunit ribosomal RNA", at positions 524 to 776 of the family's 1533-position model. The record is from RNAcentral.
GACGGAGGAUGCAAGUGUUAUCCGGAAUCACUGGGCGUAAAGCGUCUGUAGGUGGUUUAAAAAGUCUACUGUUAAAGCUUGAAGCUUAACUUCAAAAAUGCCGUAGAAACUUUUAAACUUGAGUAUGGUAGGGGUAGAGGGAAUUUCCAGUGGAGCGGUGAAAUGCGCAGAUAUCAGGAGGAACACCGGUGGCGAAGGCGGGUCUCUGGGCCGAUACUGACGCUGAGGAGCGAAAGCGUGGGGAGCGAACAGG